RNAcentral lists this microRNA precursor (84 nucleotides) under Bombyx mori (domestic silkworm). Its description in RNAcentral is "mir-2807 microRNA precursor family". It matches the Rfam family "mir-2807 microRNA precursor family". The record is from Rfam by way of RNAcentral. Lineage: Eukaryota; Metazoa; Arthropoda; Insecta; Lepidoptera; Bombycidae.
UUAGCUCAUAUUUGUAUGAAAUGGGAUCGUUUGCGUACGUUUGCCGCUAGGGGCGCUGUUCCAGCUCCAUACAAAAUUGGGUUA